Molecule: ribosomal RNA, 494 nt
Filed under: uncultured bacterium
Lineage: Bacteria
Description: bacterial SSU rRNA
Rfam family: Bacterial small subunit ribosomal RNA
Source: RNAcentral
UCGAGCGAGAACCGGUCCUUCGGGGCCGGGGACAGCGGCGAACGGGUGAGUAACACGUGGGUAAUCUGCCCUCGGCACCGGGAUAGCCCGGGGAAACCCGGAUUAAUACCGGAUGGCCUUUCGAAUCUUCGGGUUCGAAUGAAAAGGUAGCUUCGGCCUCCGGCCGAGGAUGAGCCCGCGGCCGAUUAGCUUGUUGGUGAGGUAACGGCUCACCAAGGCUCCGAUCGGUAGCUGGUCUGAGAGGACGAUCAGCCACACUGGGACUGAGACACGGCCCAGACUCCUACGGGAGGCAGCAGUGGGGAAUCUUGCGCAAUGGGCGAAAGCCUGACGCAGCGACGCCGUGUGCGGGAAGAAGGCCUUCGGGUUGUAAACCGCUUUCAGGAGGGACGAAGCCACUCGGGUUAAUAGCCCAGAGGGUGACGGUACUUCCAGAAGAAGCCCCGGCUAACUACGUGCCAGCAGCCGCGGUAAUACGUAGGGGGCUAGCGUUG